UCCCAUCUCUACCACAUUAAUUGGAAUCCUUUUAACUUUUAGCACAGCCUUUUGGUACAUGGCUGGAACAGCAGCCUUAUACAUUAAGACAUUUUCCUCCUAUAACCCAUUCCAACAAAAAAAUUAUAUUAGAAAGAAAGAAUACAGCAUAUAUAUGUAUUAUCCUGAUAAUAAUAAUAAAAUGUAAAAUAAUAAAAGAAAUUGUAAAUACCAUAUCAGCACUUUGACUUCCACUGACCAAUUGCUUAUCUUCAAUGUCAUUGAUCUAGAAGAAAUGAAAAAAUCUAAUUAGAAAUUCUACAAAGUCUAAUUCUAAUGUGAGGGAGAAAUUAUUAGGCUUGACGUGUGUACCAAGGAAGCAUGAGCCUUCACCAUAUCUUCUAGAUUGAAGUUCCAGCAUUUA
This 403-nucleotide long non-coding RNA is filed under the name Trifolium pratense (red clover). RNAcentral describes it as "long non-coding RNA (TPRA_LNC003773)". The record is from RNAcentral. Lineage: Eukaryota; Viridiplantae; Streptophyta; Magnoliopsida; Fabales; Fabaceae.